RNAcentral lists this ribosomal RNA (250 nucleotides) under uncultured bacterium. RNAcentral's name for it is "partial 16S ribosomal RNA". It matches the Rfam family "Bacterial small subunit ribosomal RNA", at positions 524 to 773 of the family's 1533-position model. The record is from RNAcentral.
UACGAAGGGGGCGAGCGUUGUUCGGAAUUACUGGGCGUAAAGCGCACGUAGGCGGUUUAUCAAGUCGGAAGUGAAAGCCCAGGGCUUAACCUUGGAAUUGCUUUCGAAACUGAUUUACUAGAGAUUGGUAGGGGAUAGUGGAAUUCCUGGUGUAGAGGUGAAAUUCGUAGAUAUCAGGAGGAACACCGGUGGCGAAGGCGGCUAUCUGGACCAAAUCUGACGCUGAGGUGCGAAAGCGUGGGGAGCAAAC